RNAcentral lists this unclassified non-coding RNA (167 nucleotides) under uncultured Helotiales. Its description in RNAcentral is "sequence contains ITS1". The record is from RNAcentral. Lineage: Eukaryota; Fungi; Ascomycota; Leotiomycetes; Helotiales.
CAGAGCUCCUGCCCGUAAGGGUAGAUCUCCCACCCUAUGUUAUAUUUACCUCUGUUGCUUUGGCGGGCCGCCCUGGCCUCGGUCAGGCUACCGGCUCCGGCGGGUAAGCGCCCGCCAGAGGACCCAACUCUUGUUUUUAGUGAUGUCUGAGUACUAUAUAAUAGUUA